GACGAACGCUGGCGGCGUGCUUAACACAUGCAAGUCGAACGGAAAGGCCCUGCUUUUGUGGGGUGCUCGAGUGGCGAACGGGUGAGUAACACGUGAGUAACCUGCCCUUGACUUUGGGAUAACUUCAGGAAACUGGGGCUAAUACCGGAUAGGAUCUCCUGCUGCAUGGUGUGGGUUGGAAAGUUUCGGCGGUUGGGGAUGGACUCGCGGCUUAUCAGCUUGUUGGUGGGGUAGUGGCUUACCAAGGCUUUGACGGGUAGCCGGCCUGUGAGGGUGACCGGAAACAUUGGGAAUGAGAUACGGCCCAGACGCAUACGGGAGGAAGGAGUGGGGAAUAUUGAAAAAUGGGCGGAAGGCUGAUGGAGCAACGACGCGUGCGGGAUGAAGGCCGUCGGGUUGUAAAAAGAUUUCGCCUGUGACGAAGCGUGAGUGACGGUAAUGGGUAAAGAAGCACCGGCUAACUACGU
RNAcentral lists this ribosomal RNA (467 nucleotides) under uncultured bacterium. RNAcentral describes it as "partial 16S ribosomal RNA". It matches the Rfam family "Bacterial small subunit ribosomal RNA", at positions 28 to 506 of the family's 1533-position model. The record is from RNAcentral.